This 179-nucleotide small RNA is filed under the name Pseudofrankia asymbiotica. RNAcentral describes it as "Frankia asymbiotica c-di-AMP sequence". It matches the Rfam family "c-di-AMP riboswitch aptamer (ydaO/yuaA leader)". Rfam says of the family: This family represents a conserved RNA structure found upstream of the ydaO and yuaA genes in Bacillus subtilis and related genes in other bacteria. The ydaO/yuaA element is thought to act as a genetic "off" switch for the ydaO and yuaA genes in its native state. The record is from Rfam by way of RNAcentral. Lineage: Bacteria; Bacillati; Actinomycetota; Actinomycetes; Frankiales; Frankiaceae.
GGCACGGAUCCGCUUGGGCAGGAGCGGGGGACCCAUUUCCGGACGCGGCGACGGUCGUGUCCUUGGGGUGAAGCCGGUCAGCCGGACGCGACGCCAUCGGCGGAGCGCGAGGAGACGACCGGCCGGGCAUUCCCAGCCCGAACCCGACAGCUCACCCCGCAGGCGCAGGGAAGGAUCGA